Molecule: ribosomal RNA, 435 nt
Filed under: uncultured bacterium
Lineage: Bacteria
Description: partial 16S ribosomal RNA
Rfam family: Bacterial small subunit ribosomal RNA
Source: RNAcentral
AACGAACGCUGGCGGCAUGCCUAACACAUGCAAGUCGAACGAUUGCCUUCGGGUGAUAGUGGCGCACGGGUGCGUAACGCGUGGGAAUCUGCCCUUAGGUUCGGAGUAACAGCUGGAAACGGCUGCUAAUACCGGAUGAUAUCGCGAGAUCAAAGAUUUAUCGCCUGAGGAUGAGCCCGCGUUGGAUUAGGUAGUUGGUGGGGUAAAGGCCUACCAAGCCGACGAUCCAUAGCUGGUCUGAGAGGAUGAUCAGCCACACUGGGACUGAGACACGGCCCAGACUCCUACGGGAGGCAGCAGUGGGGAAUAUUGGACAAUGGGCGCAAGCCUGAUCCAGCAAUGCCGCGUGAGUGAUGAAGGCCCUAGGGUUGUAAAGCUCUUUUACCCGGGAAGAUAAUGACUGUACCGGGAGAAUAAGCCCCGGCUAACUCCGUG